GGGGGGAGGCGGGAUCUUGGGCUGUGUCCCGGAACCCAGGGCUCCCGGGCUUGUGCUGUUGGAUUCGCGCACCCGGCCGCGCAGCCCCCU
This 90-nucleotide microRNA precursor is filed under the name Canis lupus familiaris (dog). Its description in RNAcentral is "mir-8799 microRNA precursor family". It matches the Rfam family "mir-8799 microRNA precursor family". The record is from Rfam by way of RNAcentral. RNAcentral also lists the same sequence under 1 other name. Lineage: Eukaryota; Metazoa; Chordata; Mammalia; Carnivora; Canidae.